Molecule: ribosomal RNA, 500 nt
Filed under: uncultured bacterium
Lineage: Bacteria
Description: partial 16S ribosomal RNA
Rfam family: Bacterial small subunit ribosomal RNA
Source: RNAcentral
AUUGAACGCUGGCGGAAUGCUUUACACAUGCAAGUCGAACGGCAGCACGGACUUCGGUCUGGUGGCGAGUGGCGAACGGGUGAGUAAUAUAUCGGAACAUACCUUGUAGUGGGGGAUAACUAUCCGAAAGGAUAGCUAAUACCGCAUACGCUCUAAGGAGGAAAGUGGGGGAUCGCAAGACCUCAUGCUAUAAGAGUGGCCGAUAUCUGAUUAGCUAGUUGGUGAGGUAAAGGCUCACCAAGGCGACGAUCAGUAGCUGGUCUGAGAGGACGAGCAGCCACACUGGAACUGAGACACGGUCCAGACUCCUACGGGAGGCAGCAGUGGGGAAUUUUGGACAAUGGGGGCAACCCUGAUCCAGCAAUGCCGCGUGAGUGAAGAAGGCCUUCGGGUUGUAAAGCUCUUUUGUCAGGGAAGAAACGGUUGUGGCUAAUAUCCAUGGCUAAUGACGGUACCUGAAGAAUAAGCACCGGCUAACUACGUGCCAGCAGCCGCCGUAA